This 453-nucleotide long non-coding RNA is filed under the name Manacus vitellinus (golden-collared manakin). Its description in RNAcentral is "lncRNA (ENSMVIG00005006234.1)". The record is from RNAcentral. Lineage: Eukaryota; Metazoa; Chordata; Aves; Passeriformes; Pipridae.
GCACUUUGGAUAGUUGGAAACGUCAAGGAGGUUUCCAGGCUCAAAUUUUUGCAGCAGAGUAUCCACACUUGGGAUUUUGCUGACAAAACCAUGACAGCCAAAGGGCUGGGUGUUUUCCUAUCGAGUGACGUUGGCAGAACUGUGUAGCACAGAUUCAGUUUGAAAGGCUGAAAAACUAAAUUUGUUCUGCAGAAGGUGGUUUGAUAACUCCCAGCUGACCCCAGGAAUCCACAAGCGUGCACACUGCAAUGCCAAGGCAGGAGUCAGAACACGGCAGGACAGAGUUUUCAAAUGAAACAAAAAUUAGAAAAAAUGAAGUGCUUGAAGUGGGAGGCUUCCCCCCAUCACUGCCUUGGGACUGCAGCACAGAGAGCCAGUGUCCACUCACCACAGCCAUGGAAAAGAGAGAGAUGGAUUUUUUCAGGGAUACACCCAAAAUGCUAUAUCUGUUUU